UUAAAUUGAAGAGUUUGAUCAUGGCUCAGAUUGAACGCUGGCGGCAGGCCUAACACAUGCAAGUCGAACGGUAACAGAAAGCAGCUUGCUGCUUUGCUGACGAGUGGCGGACGGGUGAGUAAUGUCUGGGAAACUGCCUGAUGGAGGGGGAUAACUACUGGAAACGGUAGCUAAUACCGCAUAAAUGGGCAAGACCAAGAGGGGGA
This 206-nucleotide ribosomal RNA is filed under the name Escherichia coli. Its description in RNAcentral is "partial 16S ribosomal RNA". It matches the Rfam family "Bacterial small subunit ribosomal RNA", at positions 1 to 210 of the family's 1533-position model. The record is from RNAcentral. Lineage: Bacteria; Pseudomonadati; Pseudomonadota; Gammaproteobacteria; Enterobacterales; Enterobacteriaceae.